RNAcentral lists this ribosomal RNA (468 nucleotides) under uncultured bacterium. RNAcentral describes it as "partial 16S ribosomal RNA". It matches the Rfam family "Bacterial small subunit ribosomal RNA", at positions 28 to 507 of the family's 1533-position model. The record is from RNAcentral.
GACGAACGCUGGCGGCGUGCUUAACACAUGCAAGUCGAACGGAAAGGCCCUGCUUUUGUGGGGUGCUCGAGUGGCGAACGGGUGAGUAACACGUGAGUAACCUGCCCUUUACUUUGGGAUAACUUCAGGAAACUGGGGCUAAUACCGGAUAGGAGCUCCUGCUGCAUGGUGGGGGUUGGAAAGUUUCGGCGGUUGGGGAUGGACUCGCGGCUUAUCAGCUUGUUGGUGGGGUAGUGGCUUACCAAGGCUUUGACGGGUAGCCGGCCUGAGAGGGUGACCGGCCACAUUGGGACUGAGAUACGGCGCAGACUCCUACGGGAGGCAGCAGUGGGGAAUAUUGCACAAUGGGCGGAAGCCUGAUGCAGCAACGCCGCGUGCGGGAUGACGGCCUUCGGGUUGUAAACCGCUUUCGCCUGUGACGAAGCGUGAGUGACGGUAAUGGGUAAAGAAGCACCGGCUAACUACGUG